CUAUAGUGACCCAGACCACUUCAUCUCACUGUAGUGGUCUGGGUGCAGUGUUCCUGUCCUUUUAACACUGUAAUGUAAAAGAAACUGCAGUGUUUACAUUGUAGAGCUAAGUCCACCUAAUUUGGCCAAGUGUCACAGAAGCCCCCAUAGCAACUCAUUGAUUCAAUGUUUUCCAAUGUAGAAGCUUGAGUUUGUGCACGGCACUUGCCAUGCAUUAGGUCACCAAUGUUCCUCUAUAAGGAACACUAAAUUGGGCCAUCGCAAAGAAGCCAUGCCUCCUCUGUGAUGGUGCUGGAGACGGAGGAAAAAAGUAAGUUAAACUUUUGAGUUUUAUAAUUUGUAUUGCAAACUUGGGAGACCUGUGUAGAGCUAGCAUUAUAGCUAGGGGCACUAUAGCAUUAGAUAUGCAGGUUUAGGUGUAUAGUGAUGAAGUAGUGUUUGUGAGAAAUGCUAAAUCCAUAUAGUGCAAUCGAAUGCUUGUAUGUUUGUGCUAUGGUUCCUGUAAUGACAUGGUCUUGUUAUAUAAGGUGGACUAAAGGCUCCUGUAUUAAAAUAAAGAACAAUGGAGCAACCCUUGUGGGUGUCAUUUGUAAUGUUAAAUGCAGAGGAUAGAACUCCGGAGUUAAGGUUUCAGGCUGAAGGUAGCAAAAAGAGGACCAUAACUGAUUUCAGAAAAAUUCAAGAAAGCCAUAUCUGCAAAGUGUGGAGAGAAAAAAGGCGGUCUAGUGCUUUUUUUUUUUUAAUUCUUUAUUUUUGCAAACAAUAUAACAUAUUUCGUAGUACAUACAUUUACCACCUAGCUAAGCCUACUCAGUUUUUAUUAGUAAAGGCAAAUUCACCCAGGCUUCCCUAUCAGUGGUCCUUGGGUUUGUGACUGGGGGUGGAGGGGGCGUUGGUGUUGGGCUAUAUGUGCCUAUUUGGCCAAUAUGUGUUGCGCCCUGAUACAGAAGCCUUUGUAAGGCACGUAGUUAGGGUAUAAGUGGGCAUAGGACCUCUCGAAGCCGAGUAUGAGUUUCCUCUUUGUUGCGCUGGGGCAGGAGGUUGGGGUCACGUUCUAGGUACUCAGAAGACUGUUGUUUUUGCACAGAAGUGUCGCUUGCGAACUCUGUGCUGGUAUGGUGGGGAGGGAGUGGGGGCAUGGAUGCUUUGAUUCAGAGCUAUAUCUAAGAGCCAGCAACAUAAUAACAGAGGCAAAAUAUAUAAACGUUAUCAACAUCUAAGACGGUAUCGUGCACAGGGUAGUGCACAAGUAAGUUCAGUCCCAAAGUUCAGGGUGGUAGUGCCGUUGUCGUGGGUGCUCCCCCUCUGGGCACAAAUAGGGUGAUGUCUGCUACAUUCCAGACUGGGUGGUCUGCUGUCUGUGGCUUAGCUGCCGACAGGCCGAGGGCUUGCAGGAAGGUUGAUGCUUCAGCAGGGUGCGAGAUGGCGUGCAUUUUUCCUGCCUUAUUGGUUAGUAGUCUGCGGGAGCCCCAUUUGUAGGCAAUGGAAUUCUCUUGAAGAAUCUGGGUCUAGAGCAGGCACUGCUUGAGGGGAAAGGCAGGCACAUAAGCUCACGUCAUAUUCCCACCCCACCAUAUUUCAAGGGCUGCAGCCACAAUUUGGAACUGCAAUAAAGACACCAAUAAGAGUAAAAGAGCAGUGCUAGGUGGAAGUGUGCUACACACAUCAUGGUAAGAGAAGGGAUAUCAGCGAACAUAUACUUAAAAUGAACUAGAAAGAGGCAGCAGACACAUUAUAGCAGAGAUGAGCUUAGGGAGGAGAAUUCCACAUCUCCCUAAAUUCCAAUGAAGUAUUAGCCAACAAAACCAAUGUAUUCUUAUUAUGCAUCAUGGCUAUCCCAGAUUCAGGCUUGGCAUGCCCCUAUAGAUACAAAAGGAUGUGUCGAUCUUGAAUGUCUCCAAACCUAAAGGGGCACAAUAAAGUGGUCUGGGUGCAGUGGCCCUGUCCUCUUAGGCCUUUAAUCUAAAACACUGUCUCCCUGACCACCACUAGAGGUACUUGAGCUGCAACAAGUGUUUCACUCAGUCAUGUGACCUUGAACAUCAUUAAAUGCAGCUCAUAGGGAAGCAUUGAGCUCAAUGCUUCCCUAUUACAAGCAUUUGUUUAGACAUGCACACUGCGCUCACCUCUCUGAGGCUCUGAAAGAAGGGACCAAAGCCUAAAAAACUGUAUACAAAAUACCUGCACAUUUUUCAGAAUAUAAGAUGUGCCUAUAUAGUUAAACUAGAAAUUUAGAUAAAAGUAAUAAAACAACCAAUAACAUUUUGUAGUCCCCCUUAGUGUAUCACAUCCACUCUUUAGUGUCUUUUAACCCCUUAUAUGUCUUUUACGCCCAUAUUGUCUGAAGAUUCCCCCCCUCCUCCAAUUUUCCGCUGCAUGGAGACACUGAAUGUUCCUCAUAGAGAUGCAAUAGCCUCUCAUUGCUUUCCUAUGGGAAAGCAUUGCAUUGGCUGAGAUCGUCAAAUUUGUUGAUCUCAGCCAUACAGGCAGAGCAAGGUGGGGCCAGCUGCAGCGAGACCAGCACAACACUGGAAAAAGGGUAAGGUAACUUACCUUUUUAAUGUAAUGAGAGGAGCUGGAGACCUACAUUGUUAUUUUAUCACUAUAGUGUCAGGAAUACAGUUUGUGUUCCUGACACUAUAGUUUUCUGUUAAGCCCAUGUUCUACCUAAGUUGAACUUGAGGAAGGUAUAAUUGUAAGACUGAAACGUCUGCUCCUUGAAUGAAUAAAACUGCUAAAAUAGCAACAUUUGAGUGCCCGGACAUUUCCUUGCUUCCUUUUAAAGACAGAGUAUAGGUACAAAAAUAACUUAAUUAAGCAGUUUUGGUGUAUAGAUCAUACCCCUACAGUCUUACUGCACAAUUAUCUGCCAUUUAGGAGUUAAAUCUCAUUGCAAUUAACUUAUUUUUACAUUAUCUAUCUUUCAUAAAACCAUUCUGAUUUGUGUUAAAUAAUUAAGUGCUUGUGGUUGAAUACCAUCUGGCCUUGAGGAUUUGUUUACAUUAACUUUCUUUUGUUGCUGCGGCACCUUGUCUUGAGUAAUCCAAUCACAAUAUUUCUGCCGUUUUUUUUCCAGCAAUGAUUUACAGAUCUCUUGCUGUAGGUUCAUCUUUAAUAUAUACUGAAAAGUAAUUAUUUUAACCCACAAAAAUGGUCCUUAAGGACAAAUAUGAGCGCUGGAAGCAAUCGUGAUUUUUUUUCAACCGCUCUUUUAUUGCAGCGACACCUCGAAGUCCAGGCAUCCUGCAAUACCUCUCCUGACAGCCGGGCCUCCGAGGGAUUGCUGCACCGGAGAGAUCACUUCCGGGUUGCCCCAUGUGGCGCCCGGCAGUAUAGCAGAGUAUCGGAAGCCAUCAGGCAGGAUUCCGAUGCUCCUCUGCAUGUGUGCUGAGUGCCUUGAGGCACUCAAAUAAAUAAAUAAAAUACAUAAAUAUGGUAUUUUGGCCCCCAGAGAAAUAAUUAAAUAAAUUUUAAAAAGUAUUUUAGCCCCCAGAGAACCCGACACACCUGUACAUGGUUGGUUUUACUGUAUUCAAGAGAUGUUGCUGAACACAUAUUGGGGUGUUCUUUGGCAGUAACACAUAACAGGAGCUGCUAAUCCAUGUCUAAAGUACAAUGUUUGUGGAAAAAUAACACAAAAAAAUGACUUCCCAAAAGUUUGACAAAGACUGGUGGUAGAAUUAGUGCAUGGAAAGUGUUAAAACACCAACAUUUGAAAUAUCCUAGGGCAGUAAUGGCUAACCUUGACACCAUAAAUUAUUAUUUCUGGGCUACAUUUCUUUUGAUGCUCAGCUAACGUUUAGAGUCUAAAAGCUAGCUGAGCAUCAUGGGAAAUGUAGUCCAAAAACAAUUUAUGGUGUAAAGGUUAGCCAUCACUGUCCUAGGGUGUCUACUUUUCAAAAAUAUAUAGUUUAAUGGGGGUAAAUUACAUUGUCAGGCUUCAAAAAUGUCCCAAAUAGGGCAUGGGUGUAGGAUGACCAGCUGUGAAAAUUCCGAGCCUGGAAUGCGCACCCUCCAAAUAAGGUCUUUUAGCCCCCAGAGAACCCUACACACCUAUACAUGGGUAGUAUCAUUGUACUCAGGAGAUGUUGCUGGACACAUAUUGGGGUGUUCUUUGGCAGUAACCCUUAAAGUUCUCUGUAAAUUUAUUCUUAAAUUGCUAUGUGUGUCAAAAGAAUCACCAAUUAUUAUUAUUAUUUUUUCUAAAUUUGGCAUAGAUUGGUGGUAAAAUGGUUGCAUGAAAAGAGUCAAACUACCCCAAGGACAAAAUUUAGAAACUAUUUAGUAUGGGUACUUUAUGUCAGUUGUAGAUGCGUAACAGAUUUUGGGGGUCAAAGUUAGAAAAGGUGUGGGUUUUUUUGUUUUUUUUUUAAUUUCAUCAUAUUUUAUAAUUUAUUUUUUCUAUAGUAAUUAUAUGAUAUGAUGAAAAUAAUGGUAUCUUUAAAAAGACCAUUUAAUGUCAAGAACAACUGUAUAUAAUAUGUGUGGUAAAUGAGGAAGAGGGGUUAAAAUUUAGCUUUUUCCUAAUCUUCCUUUUCUAACAUCUCUGAUUUUAGUCAACCUACGCUUAAUUUUUUAUUUUUAUUUUUAGAAUUGAUGUACUUAAAAGCUUUAUGGGGUUAAUCGUGCCCUCUUUGGCUACUUCUUUUUUAAUUUUCUUGUUUAGCCUAUCUAAUAAUCUUUUUACAGGCUUUAUCAGCUUCUUUUCACAAGAUUUACAGAAUAUAGAUAAGCACUACAAAAUCCUAAAGCCAAUUAACUAAAAAACAGCAAAUACUAGGUGUAGGGACACCUCUAUGUCCCAACAAAAUGAGAUAACUCAACAAAGAAAGGUUGUACCAAAACAAAUAACUUAAAUAUAAAAAUACAGCAAACAAUGAAAGAUAAAGUAUAUAUUCCAAAUAUUCUUAUGUGGUUGGGUCCGUCCUCAUAAGGUGGAUAUGAAAGAAAAGUAAAAAAAAAAAAAAAAGAGAUACUGAAUGUGUAAUAUGUAAUACAGAGUUUGGUAACAAAUAACAAAAGUGUGUAGGUGCCCACUCACAGGUUAUAGAGCAAUCAUACAUGCUCUGGUAGUGACAGCAUGUAGUGGUACAAUCCCAACUAAUGGAUAUGCGAUAUACGUAGAUAUGGUCUCUCCUGUUAAUCACAGUGAAGUAUGUUAAGACAAAAAUAAUAUCCAAUACUGUAAUAUUUCCAAUAUAAAGUGCCAAAAAAAGAGGAAAUGCACUCACAAGGGUAGAGCUUUUAUUAAAGAUCACAUUUGCAGGUAUAAGUUGGUAAUGUUCUCAUCUAGGGAUAUAGCUGGUUCACAACUUAUUCUACAGUGUUCACAUAUAUGGAAGAAUAGAAAUGGUAUAUAGUGCUCUCAGUAUAUACAGUUGCAAGAAAACGUAUGUGAACCCUUUGGAAUGAUAUGGAUUUCUGCACAAAUUGGUCAUAAAAUGUGAUCUGAUCAUCAUCUAAGUCAUAACAAUAGACAAUCACAGUCUGCUUAAACUAAUAAACAAAGAAUGAAAUGUUGCCAUUUUUUUAUUGAACACACCAUGUAAACAUUCACAGUGCAGGUGGAAAAAGAAUGUGAACCCCUAGACUAAUGACAUCUCCAAGAGGUAAUUGGAGUGAAAUGUCAGCCAACUGGAGUCCAAUCAUGAGAUAAGAUUGGAGGUGUUGGUUACAGCUACCCAGCCCUAUAAAAAACACACACCAGUUCUGGGUUUACUUUUCACAAGAAGCAUUGCCUGAUGUGAAUGAUGCCUCGCACAAAAGAGCUCUCAGAAGACCUACGAUUAAGAAUUGUUGACUUGCAUAAAGCUGGAAAGGGUUAUAAAAGUAUCUCCAAAAGCCUUGCUGUUCAUCAGUCCACGGUAAGACAAAUUGUCUAUAAAUGGAGAAAGUUCAGCACUGCUGCUACUUUCCCUAGGAGUGGCCAUCCUGUGAAGAUGACUGCAAGAGCACAGCGCAACUGCUCAAUGAGGUGAAGAAGAAUCCUAGAGUGUGAGCUAAAGAUUUACAAAAGUCACUGGCAAAUGCUAACAUCCCUGUUAGCGAAUCUACAAUACGUAAAACAUUAAACAAGAAUGGAUUUCAUGGGAGGAUACCACAGAGGAAGCCACUGCUGUUCAAACAAUACAUUGCUGCACGUUUACAGUUUGCACAAGAACACCUGGAUGUUCCACAGCAGUACUGGCAAAAUAUUCUGUGGACAGAUGAAACCAAAGUUGAGUUGUUUGGAAGAAACACACAACACUAUGUGUGGCGAAAAAAAGGCACAACACACCAACAUCAAAACCUCAUCCCAACUGUGAAGUAUGGUGGUGGGGGCAUUAUGGUUUGGGGCUGCUUUGCUGCGUCAGGGCCUGGACGGAUUGCUAUCAUCGAUGGAAAACUGAAUUCCCAAGUUUAUCAAGACAUUUUGCAGGAGAACUUAAGGCCAUCUGUCUACCAGCUGAAGCUCAACUGUAGAUGGCUGUUUCAACAGGACAAUGACCCAAAGCACAGAAGUAAAUCAACAACAGAAUGGUUUAAACAGAAGAAAGUACGCCUUCUGAAGUGGCCUCAACCCGAUUGAGAUGCUGUGGCAUGACCUCAAGAAAGCGAUUCACACCAGACAUCCCAAGAAUAUUGCUGAACUGAAACAGUUCUGUAAAGAGGAAUGGUCAAGAAUUACUCCUGACCGUUGUGCACGUCUGAUCUGCAACUACAGGAAACGUUUGGUUAAAGUUAUUGCUGCCAAAGGAGGUUCAACCAGUUAUUAAAUCCAAGGGUUCACAUACUUUUUCCACCUGCACUGUGAAUGUUUACAUGGUGUGUUCAAUAAAAAUAUGGCAACAUUUCAUUAUUUGUGUGUUAUUAGUUUAAGCAGACUGUGAUUGUGUAUUGUUGUGACUUAGAUGAUGAUCAGAUCACAUUUUAUGACCAAUUUGUGCAGAAAUCCAUAUCAUUCCAAACGGUUCACAUACUUUUUCUUGCAACUGUAUGUACAUAGGAAGAUAGAUGGAAAAGUACGUACAUUGUUUGGAGCAGUAAGAUUGCUCUGUUUUGAUAGUGUAGGUUGUACAUAUUAGAAAUGUAUACUUCUCACUAUAUACCACUAUAACCGCAUUGAAACCCAUGUGGUUUAGUUGGAAGGUAAGCAUAGGAAUUAAAAAUAAGAAAAGGGUAUUUAAAUCAGAUAAAUCAGAGGUCUCCUAUAUAAAAUACAAUGAAGCUAAUUAAAAAAGAUAUAAGAAGCAGGUUGUGCCAAAACAAAUAUGAAAAAUAUAAAAAUACAACGAACAAUCAAAGAUAAAAUAUAUAGUCCAGAUGUUGUUCUAAUGGCCUGAGUUCUUAUGUAGUUGGAUCCAUCCUCAUAAGGUGCAUAUGAAAGAAAAGAGAAAACCGGGAUAGUGACAGUGUAGUAUGUAGCACAGUGAGUGGAAAACAAACAAACAAACGUAAGCGCCACUCACAUGUUAUGAAGCUAUCAUACUAGCUCUGGUAGAGACAGCAUGUAGUGGUACAAUUCAGACUAAUGGGUAUGCAUGUAGAAAUGGUCUGUCCCAUGAAUCAAAGUGAAAUAUGUAAAGAGAGAAAUAACAUUCAAUAGUGUAAUAUUGCCAGCAAAAGUGACUAAAGUUCCAAAAAAUAGGAAAUGCACUUACAAUGCUAGAGGUUUGUUUUUUUCAAGCAUAGUGCAAGCAUGUGCUGCGUUUGCUAGUGACUUGUGUCCCCAAUAGUGGGAUACCAGGGAACAAAAGUGGAACAGUUAAAAGUGUUUUGUGCAUGUGUGGUAUGCUCCCUGUGCUGUUGUAUGUCAAAGCAGACAUUGUGUUGUAGUCUAUAAAGGGGUCUAUAUGUGUGGCUAGGGACUGUAGUGUGUGUGUUUCUGGGUUGUACAGUAUGUGUGUAAAGUGUGUUUGUGUGUUAGUAAGUGCAGGGGUGUAGUAUGUAUAUAGGGAACUUCUUAAGAGUGUGUUUGUGUGUAUAUAGGGAGUGUAGCAUUUGAGAAGUGUGUUGGCAUGUAUGUGCAGGCGGCAUAGUGUGUGUGUGUAGUUUGUGUAAGUGCAAAGGGUGUUGUGUGUUAAUAGGGGGUAUAGAGUGUGUGUAGUGUGUUUGUGUGUAGUGCCUAUAUAAGGGGUUGGAUUAAGGGAAAUGGAGCACCCUGAUCCCUGGUGGUCCAGUGGGCUCAAUAUGUGUUCUGUACCACCACAUGGUACAGACCAUGUCUCUCCCUGUUACAAGUGCCGGUGUUUCAGAGCAUUGCCAUGGGUUAUCAUGGCAAUGCUCUGACAAUAUCAGAGGAAAUGAGGAGAUGCUGCCCUUCAUACUGCAGAGAGGCCUCCUGGCUCACUUUCCUCUGGUGACCCAAUCUCCCCUCUGACCCAUGAUGAAACAGAGCUCCCUCUAAGGGCCGAUACUGUACAACUUGGGCCGCCAGCCUCAGCCCAUGACCAUCGUGGCCCACUGGGCAUUUGCCCUGUUUCUCAGAUGGCCAGUCAGGGCCUAAUGAUGUGACACUAAUGAUGCCCAUAGUGAGUGGGCCCACCUGGAAAACUACCUACCGAAGGAGCCUGUCUUACAGGCCACCAGCCUGCAUUGCUUUGCAGGGAGAGCUGCUGAAGCACUCCUAGUGCCAAUGCUCAGUACAAGCACAUGUAAGGAUGCGUUUAUGCUGUGCUGUCCGACUACAGUUUUCUGGUGUCCCAACUAAAUCUGGAAUGUGGGAUAGGACUGUUGGGGUACCUGACCUUAAGUGAUCAGGAAUUACUGUCCCUUUCCUCCCUCGUGAGCCAUUGUAUGUCAUAUCAUAUGUGAUAGAAAAAUAUACGCCAGAUAUCUUCAGAUCUGUGAAAACAGGCACAGAAUGAUAGGUAAGAAGGACAAACCUAUAAUCAAAGAAGACACCCCCCGAAAAUAACUAUUGGGAUGUUUGUUUGUUUGUUUGCAUGAUGAAGAAAAACCCCUGCUCUCUAGAACUUACUUACCUUUCCAGUUAUUAUUAAUCAACCCCAUACUGUUACUUAAAACAAACUUAAACAAUCCAAGUAUUCAUUGUCUCAUAACAGCAUCACUACAUAAUUUAACCCUAAAAUGUUUCUUACAUAAAGAAAAAGGAAAUCUAAAACUGAAUAAAAUUCUUCUAAAAAAAUAUUUUCAAACAUAUUACUAAAUGCAUUUUUUUUCAAACCAUGGACUAUUAAAUGUUAUGAAAGGAGCAAUAAGACCUUUCUACUAAACAUCAUAAACAAUAAUAUUUGUUCAGGAAGAAUCCCCCAAAGCAGGGGUGCCCAAAAGGUAGACCCCCCAGAGGUUGUACAACUACAGCAUCCAUGAUGCAUUCUAAAGGCACGAAAAGCAUAAUGGGAGUUAUAGUUUUAUUACAUCUGGGGAUCUGCCUUUUGGGCUCCCCUGCCCUAUAGGCUUUCAUUACCUCCCCAUAUGUCACUGUUUUAUUUGUUUUUAUUGACAACUUGUAGGAAGAUUUUUUUUUCCCUGUACAGUAAAUCAAAUAUGAGUAAAGUCACUAUUGUAUUUUUGUUUGCUCUCUCCAUUAUGGGAAGAAUAUGAAUUUCAUUCCUUUUGCCAGUCCUAGAAAUCUGAGAUUCUGAUCCAUCUACACUAAAAGUCAAUCCAUUGAUCCUUUUGCAACAGCAGUAAAUAUCAACUGUGUUCUCUACAAUUGUAAAUGUUAUUAGCAAAUAUGAUAAUUUCGUUUGCAAACACAUCCAAUGAAUAUGAAGUAGGCUUCUACGCAAUAUACCUAGGUUUAUGCAAGCUGGCAUAUAACAGGCCAAAUGCUGGUCAAAUUGUAAAGGUUCUAACGGCUAUGUUUAUGAUAUGUAUAUUUACUAUGUGUUUUUGGUUUUUUUCUAAUAAAUUAUUGCCAACAUCA
Non-coding RNA from Pelobates cultripes (western spadefoot toad), 9871 nucleotides. The record is from the annotation of a GenBank genome assembly. Lineage: Eukaryota; Metazoa; Chordata; Amphibia; Anura; Pelobatidae.